RNAcentral lists this ribosomal RNA (400 nucleotides) under uncultured beta proteobacterium. RNAcentral describes it as "bacterial SSU rRNA". It matches the Rfam family "Bacterial small subunit ribosomal RNA", at positions 213 to 605 of the family's 1533-position model. The record is from RNAcentral. Lineage: Bacteria; Pseudomonadati; Pseudomonadota; Betaproteobacteria.
UCGCGCUAUUGGAGCGGCCGAUGUCGGAUUAGCUAGUUGGUGAGGUAAAGGCUCACCAAGGCGACGAUCCGUAGCUGGUCUGAGAGGACGACCAGCCACACUGGGACUGAGACACGGCCCAGACUCCUACGGGAGGCAGCAGUGGGGAAUUUUGGACAAUGGGCGAAAGCCUGAUCCAGCAAUGCCGCGUGAGUGAAGAAGGCCUUCGGGUUGUAAAGCUCUUUUGUCAGGGAAGAAACGGUGGUUUCUAAUACAGAUCACUAAUGACGGUACCUGAAGAAUAAGCACCGGCUAACUACGUGCCAGCAGCCGCGGUAAUACGUAGGGUGCAAGCGUUAAUCGGAAUUACUGGGCGUAAAGCGUGCGCAGGCGGUUCCGCAAGUCAGAUGUGAAAUCCCCG